ACAGGAAUGAAGAAAUGCGCAGCAGUAUAUAAACGCAUCCGGACCGUGAACCAGUCUCUUCUCUUCUAGUUCUCCUACUUGGUCGUCAGUUAACGACGAUGUGUGAUGCAAAGAUGAAUGGGACUUGCAGAGAAGACCAUAGGCCGCAGGUGGCCUCCCUGCAACGUUGUAAUUUCCUACUGAUCUUGGAGACAAAAUGAAGUAGCUGACAUAAUGACUUGCAGGUUGCAUGCCUGCAACGAUGGGGCCCUGGUGUGUUGUCUGGACUCAAAAUGGUGUAUUGAAGCUCUUGGACGAGGAGACAAAAUGGAUAAGCUGACUAGCAGGGGCCAGGUGAACUCUGAAGUCUGAUGGCUGUUCCUUGGAGACAUGCUUCGAUAAGAGAAGAGGCAUGAUGCAGAUUGAGCUGGUGGCUGGAUCAGGAUGCUGAUGCAGGAUAUGCUUGGACUUUAAAGGUCCGAAAGCUUACCUGCUUGGAAGGACUUGGACCAAGUAGAGGUGUAAAGUUUUUGAAGAUUCCUGUUAAACAGGAUGCCGUUUUGCUUCAAAUAAAAAACGUUAAACAAAU
Molecule: long non-coding RNA, 568 nt
Organism: Gadus morhua (Atlantic cod)
Lineage: Eukaryota; Metazoa; Chordata; Actinopteri; Gadiformes; Gadidae
Exons: 8
Source: RefSeq, a predicted model, not a curated record